RNAcentral lists this ribosomal RNA (532 nucleotides) under uncultured Chitinophaga sp. RNAcentral describes it as "bacterial SSU rRNA". It matches the Rfam family "Bacterial small subunit ribosomal RNA", at positions 343 to 875 of the family's 1533-position model. Lineage: Bacteria; Pseudomonadati; Bacteroidota; Chitinophagia; Chitinophagales; Chitinophagaceae. The record is from RNAcentral.
GGGAGGCAGCAGUAAGGAAUAUUGGUCAAUGGACGCAAGUCUGAACCAGCCAUGCCGCGUGAAGGAUGAAGGUCCUCUGGAUUGUAAACUUCUUUUAUAUGGGAAGAAACCACUUUUUUCUAAAGGUGUUGACGGUACCAUAGGAAUAAGCACCGGCUAACUCCGUGCCAGCAGCCGCGGUAAUACGGAGGGUGCAAGCGUUAUCCGGAUUUAUUGGGUUUAAAGGGUGCGUAGGCGGAUUAGUAAGUCCGUGGUGAAAUCUCCGAGCUUAACUCGGAAACUGCCGUGGAUACUAUUAAUCUUGAAUACUGUGGAGGUUAGCGGAAUAUGUCAUGUAGCGGUGAAAUGCAUAGAUAUGACAUAGAACACCAAUUGCGAAGGCAGCUGGCUACACAGAGAUUGACGCUGAGGCACGAAAGCGUGGGGAUCAAACAGGAUUAGAUACCCUGGUAGUCCACGCCCUAAACGAUGAAUACUCGACGUGUGCGAUACACAGUACGUGUCUAAGCGAAAGCGUUAAGUAAUCCACCUG